RNAcentral lists this ribosomal RNA (816 nucleotides) under Triticum aestivum (bread wheat). Its description in RNAcentral is "partial small subunit ribosomal RNA". The record is from RNAcentral. Lineage: Eukaryota; Viridiplantae; Streptophyta; Magnoliopsida; Poales; Poaceae.
AUGGAGGUUGCGACGGCGACGGAGGCGUCGGCGCCGGCGGCGAGCGGCGGGGCGAGCAGGCGGGGCCACCCGUUCCCCUGGCUCGACGUGGCCAUCUCGGAGCCCUACUACUUCCUCCACCUCAUCGCUUUCUUCUCCUACUUCGCGGCCCGCACCACGGCGCCCUCGGCCGAGGACGACGCCGAGCUCCACAGCCGCCUUAUCAGACGGGAGAUCCAGGCGGUGCUCGUGUUCCUGGUGCUCUUCACAGUGAAGAUUGUGAAGGAGGAACACUGGGAAACAUUCAUCGCUGAUUCAUUGCUCUACGCAAAGGGCCUCUUGUUGGUGGUCACUUUUGUUAUUGAUUAUUGGUUGACUGUCGGCUACUUACUGGGAUUUAUCGUUAUAUAUGCUAUGGCUCAACAGCCACCUUAUGAUGGCCUAGGUCAUUUAAAUCAUUUAACUCCGUUGCAAUUGGAAAGCCUGCUAACUGAAGAACCAACGACACGAUUUUGGCUGGUUGAGUUCCGGACUUCCUUUUUAACACCAUGUAUACAAGCAAGCAGUGUCAUGCCUGAACUCUCUAACUUAUACUCCAACAAGAACAUUUCUUUUGGAUUAGUUGAUCUAGGGCAUUUUCCAAAUGCUGCAGCGAGGUUUGGAAUAUCCAUGUGGGAUCAUCUUCCCACUUAUAUACUGUUUGACAAGGCGACUGAAGUUGCUCGGCUCCCAGAAAUCGGAAACGGAACAAAAGUAUUCGUGCCAAAAGUUACCAAGAAGCUUCUCUGCCAUCACUUUGAUCUUGACAGGAGACUGAUUGAAUUUCUGUCGACCUAG